GCGGGUAUAGUUUAGUGGUAAAACACCUCUCUUCCAAAGAGGAAAUACGGGUCCGAUUCCCGUUACCCGCUCCA
RNAcentral lists this transfer RNA (74 nucleotides) under bacterium (Candidatus Howlettbacteria) CG_4_10_14_3_um_filter_37_10. Its description in RNAcentral is "tRNA-Gly". It matches the Rfam family "tRNA". From Rfam's summary of the family: Transfer RNA (tRNA) molecules are approximately 80 nucleotides in length. Their secondary structure includes four short double-helical elements and three loops (D, anti-codon, and T loops). RNAcentral also lists the same sequence under 1 other name. The record is from RNAcentral.